CCCUUAGAUGUUCUGGGCCGCACGCGCGCUACACUGAUGCAUUCAACGAGUUUCUUCCUGGUCCGAGAGGAAUGGGUAACCUUUUGAAAGUGCAUCGUGAUAGGGAUAGACUAUUGCAAUUAUUGGUCUUCAACGAGGAAUUCCUAGUAGACGUAGUUCAUCAUACUGCAUCGAUUACGUCCCUGCCCUUUGUACACACCGCCCGUCGCUCCUACCGAUUGAAUGCUCAGGUGAGCCAUUCGGACUUUCAUCAUGCUGGUUUCCAGUUUUGAUGAAGGAAAGUCUUGCGAACCUUAUCAUUUAGAGGAAGGAGAAGUCGUAACA
RNAcentral lists this ribosomal RNA (324 nucleotides) under uncultured eukaryote. RNAcentral's name for it is "partial 18S ribosomal RNA". It matches the Rfam family "Eukaryotic small subunit ribosomal RNA", at positions 1470 to 1796 of the family's 1831-position model. The record is from RNAcentral.